UGGGGUCAGCCACAGAUUUUGGGGUCAGCCCCGACUUUGGGCUCAGCCACAGAUUUUGGGGUCAGCACAGACUUUGGGGUCGGUACCGACAUUGGGGUCAGCACCGUCAUUGGGGUCCAGCACAAACUUUGGGGUCAGCACAGACUUUGGGGUCAGCUCCGACUUUGGGGUUAGCCACAGAUUUUGGGGUCAGCACAGACUUUGAGGUCACCCAUCGACUUUGGGGUCAGCUCCGACUUUGGGGUCAGCCGCAGGGAUUGGGGUCACCUGCCGACUUUGGGGUCGGUACCGACAUUGGGGUCAGCACCGAUCAUUGAGGUCUGCCACAGAUUUUGGGGUCAGCACAGACUUUGGGGUCGGUACCGACAUUGGGGUCAGCCACAGAUUUUGGGGUCACCCGCCGACUUUGGGGUCAGCACCGUCAUUGGGGUCCGCCACAAACUUUGGGGUCAGCACAGACUUUGGGGUCACCCAUCGACUUUGGGGUCAGCUCCGACUUUGGGGUCAGCCACAGAUUUUGGGGUCAGCACCAUUAUUGGGGUCAGUACCGACUUUGGGGUCAGCUACAAACUUUGGGGUCAGCACCGACAUUGGGGUCGGCACCGACAUUGGGGUCACCCACCGACACUGGGGUCCCCCCUCGGGAUCGGGGCUCCCCGUGGACUUUGGGGUCCCCACGGAUGUCGGGGUUUCCCGAUAUUGGGGUCCCAUAGGUCCAGGGGUCCCAUAGGUGUUUGUUGGGGUCCCAUAGGUGUUGGGGUCCCACAGAUGUUGGGGUCCCAUAGGUGUUUAUUGGGAUCCCAUAGAUGUUGGGGUCCCAUGGUGUUGGGGUCCUGUAGAUGUUGGGGUCCCAUAGGU
Molecule: long non-coding RNA, 858 nt
Filed under: Phasianus colchicus (ring-necked pheasant)
Lineage: Eukaryota; Metazoa; Chordata; Aves; Galliformes; Phasianidae
Description: lncRNA (ENSPCLG00000019014.1)
Source: RNAcentral